GAAUGACUCUCGGCAACGGAUAUCUCGGCUCUCGCAUCGAUGAAGAACGUAGCGAAAUGCGAUACUUGGUGUGAAUUGCAGAAUCCUGUGAACCAUCGAGUCUUUGAACGCAAGUUGCGCCCGAAGCCAUUAGGCCGAGGGCACGCCUGCCUGGGUGUCACAC
This 163-nucleotide ribosomal RNA is filed under the name Lespedeza dunnii. RNAcentral describes it as "5.8S ribosomal RNA". It matches the Rfam family "5.8S ribosomal RNA". Rfam says of the family: 5.8S ribosomal RNA (5.8S rRNA) is a component of the large subunit of the eukaryotic ribosome. It is transcribed by RNA polymerase I as part of the 45S precursor that also contains 18S and 28S rRNA. Lineage: Eukaryota; Viridiplantae; Streptophyta; Magnoliopsida; Fabales; Fabaceae. The record is from RNAcentral.